RNAcentral lists this ribosomal RNA (369 nucleotides) under uncultured bacterium. Its description in RNAcentral is "bacterial SSU rRNA". It matches the Rfam family "Bacterial small subunit ribosomal RNA", at positions 796 to 1166 of the family's 1533-position model. The record is from RNAcentral.
CACGCCCUAAACGAUGGAUGUUCGGUGUCGGCCCGCAAGGGUCGGUGCCUGAGCUAACGCGUUAAACAUCCCACCUGGGGAGUACGAUCGCAAGGUUGAAACUCAAAGGAAUUGACGGGGGCCCGCACAAGCAGUGGAGCAUGUGGUUCAAUUCGAUGCAACGCGAAGAACCUUACCUGGGUUUGAAAGGCUCUGUAAACCGGUGAAAGCCGGCUAGUGUAGCAAUACACGCGGAGUACAGGUGCUGCAUGGCUGUCGUCAGCUCGUGCCGUGAGGUGUUAGGUUAAGUCCUGCAACGAGCGCAACCCCUGCACUUAGUUGCCAUCAGGUAAUGCUGGGCACUCUAAGUGGACUGCCUACGCAAGUAGU